UAUGAAUACUGAAAACACUACGUGUGCGC
This 29-nucleotide small RNA is filed under the name Bombyx mori (domestic silkworm). RNAcentral describes it as "ovarian small RNA-23855". Lineage: Eukaryota; Metazoa; Arthropoda; Insecta; Lepidoptera; Bombycidae. The record is from RNAcentral.